AUGGCGAGCGGCAGGAGGGAUCUUGCCGCGGCGACGAUCACGCUAGCCGUGCUGCUCGUGCUCUUCUUGCCUAUCACCGCCGCCGCCACGGUCCCCAGCAUCGAUGCCACGCGGACGCGCCACCUGCCGCUGCGACACGGACUGCUGCGCGGCCCUGAGAGCGUCACCUUCGACGCCAAAGGGAACGGCCCGUACAGCGGCGUGUCAGACGGCCGCGUCCUGAAGUGGAACGGCCACAAGCUCGGCUGGUCGACGUACACCUAUAACCCCGACUACAGCAGCGAGGCGUGCACGGCGUCUCUCCUUCGCCCGGACACUGCCACCGAGGGCCACUGCGGCCGGCCGCUCGGUCUGCGGUUCCACCUCAAGUCCGGGUACCUCUACGUGGCCGACGCCUACAAGGGACUCAUGCGGGUUACGCCGGGCGGCGGGGAGGCGACUGUGCUUGUCACGGAGGUUGAUGGCGUGUCUCUCCGCUUCACCAACGGGGUGGACAUUGACCAGGUAACCGGCGAGGUCUACUUCACGGACAGCUCCAGGAACUACAAUAGGUCACAACAUGAGAUGGUCACAAGAACCGGAGACUCAGACGGGCCGUGUAAGCUGCUACGAUACUGGAUCAAGGGCUCCAAGGCGGGCACGAUGGAGCUAUUUGCCGACCUCCCGGGAUAUCCAGACAAUGUGAGGCCUGAUAAGAAAGGAGGAUACUGGGUGGCGCUACACCAUGAGAAGGAUGAGCUCCCCUUUGGCGUCGAUAGCCACCUGCUUGCCCUGAGGAUCGAUGUUGACGGAAAAAUAAUCGAGGAGAUGAGAGGAUCCAAGAGCGUGAGGCCGACCGAGGUGGUGGAGAGGAAAGGUGGCAGAUUGUUCAUGGGAUCCGUUGAGCUUACUUAUGUGUCAGUCGUCACGCGCAAAUAG
This 918-nucleotide ribosomal RNA is filed under the name Triticum aestivum (bread wheat). RNAcentral's name for it is "partial small subunit ribosomal RNA". The record is from RNAcentral. Lineage: Eukaryota; Viridiplantae; Streptophyta; Magnoliopsida; Poales; Poaceae.